UUGUUUAGUUCGUCGUAAGCAAGUCAUUGUUGAAAUAAGUUAACCGAAAACGACGUAAUUAAAUUUUUCGAUCUAGUGAAGGAAUAUAAAAAUAUAUAUAUAUAUAUAUAUAUAUAUUAGGUAAAAGAGUUAUAUUUAAAUAUAUUUUAUUAUAAAAUUAAUUAUAUUUUUAUUCAGUUGGCAUAUUUAAAAUAUAAUAAAAAUUGAUUAGUUAAGUUUUAAUACUUUCUUUAUUCAUUUUGUACAAUUAAAAUAUGAUAAAAAAUUAAUUAAUUAAGUAUUAAUAUUUUUUUAUUUUAUAAUUUUAUUGUUGUAUUACUAUAAUUUAUGUAUAAUAAAUAAUUUAAUUAUUUUAAAUUAAAUUUUAAGUAUAUAAAAAUAUAAUUAUAUUAUUUUUUAUUUAUUAAA
Molecule: long non-coding RNA, 408 nt
Filed under: Ananas comosus (pineapple)
Lineage: Eukaryota; Viridiplantae; Streptophyta; Magnoliopsida; Poales; Bromeliaceae
Description: long non-coding RNA (ACOM_LNC034895)
Source: RNAcentral